GUUUUAAUAAUUUAAAUAAAAAUAUUGAUUUUGUAAAUCAAAAAUAAGUAAAAUCUUUUAAAACU
Molecule: transfer RNA, 65 nt
Filed under: Praia tianmunica
Lineage: Eukaryota; Metazoa; Arthropoda; Insecta; Hymenoptera; Cimbicidae
Description: tRNA-Thr
Source: RNAcentral